UGCCAGCUAAGGUAGGUUGAUGCUUGGCUGCUCUUUCUCAUUUCCUCAGUUCUCCUUUCACCGAUUUCAUUCGCUCUCCCUCAGAAACCUAUGGAGGGAAACCUUUGACACCUUCAGCAAUCACCGAUCAUCCAUUUGAUGAUGAUUAUGGGGCUUCAGUUCUUCAUUGGGGUAAGAUCUUUAUCCUUUUUAUAAGCAUCUAAUAUCAAUUUAACAAUCUAGGGUAUAGCUAUAAUUUUAUAGAAGUCCAUUAAUCCUUUUUUGUCCUAUGUUUUUUUUUUUUGGUAAUUCUUCUUAAUUAAUAAUCUGAAUUUCGAUUGAAAAAUCGAAGGUAAUUCUUCUUAAUUAAUUUUCUGAAUUUCGAUUGAAAAAUCGAACUAAUUCUUGAUGAAGAAGUGGUGAUUUCGCCCUUUUGAUAUUGACCUAAGAAAGGAAAAAAGAGGAGAGAACUGGCUUAGUUUUAAUCUGCCAAUGAAAGGAAAACUGCUACUGAAGAUACUUUAAAUGCUUACAAAGCUACUCAGCUCUUCAGUUUAUGUUAAGGGUGACAUUGAAAUUUGAGUUUACAAUAAAGGCAUCACUGGCGAAGUUGUGAGAAUGCCAAAAUUUUGCAUUGUGUUCACAAUGAUGGGGAUAAAAGGAAGGAUGUGGCUCCAAACCGUGCUGCUUCUUCAGGGAAAACUCCUCCUAUCCUUGCUGUGAUAAUACUUCUUGACUCGCAACUAUACUUGUUAUGAUGUGUGCUAUUUGGUUCUGCAGGAACAAAUUCAUCUUUGAAAACAUAACACUGAACAUAGUUCACACAAAGUUUUCGUUAGAACUGCAGCUCAUGACUACCCUUCUGCAUCAGGUUGGAUCCCCCCUAAAGAUAUAAUCAUGUUAAAUGUGGACGCUAAUAAUUUGGUCUCUGGAUCACAUGUUGGGUUGGGGGUGGUUUCAAAAAACGAGCUUGCAAUUGGGCAGUGUUGCUUGCUUCAGUUAAGAGGUUGCUAGAUAAUUUGCUCUAACAAGCAGAGGAGUCAAGACUCAAGAACCCUCGCGUAACCAUCUUGGAACUGUUGCUCUUCGAUAAAACAAUGAGGUAUGCUUGGAAAAACAAGAAAACUAUCUCAGCAUUGAUCUAAGCUUGUAACAUACUAUUCCGUAUUAACUUUGUGGAAGAAGUUAUAUGAUGACACUACAAGUGUGAUAUCAAGAAUUCCUUUUCAACUAAAAUAUUUGGUUUUGGUUAAUUGGAGUUCUGGCCUGACUCUUUCAGGUUAAUACUCUAAAGUAGCAACUGCAGCUCAUUGCAUCAAGCAUAUAGCGAUGACAAUUAUGACUUCAAAUGCAACAGGUUGCCUUUCUUUAUCUUGUCGUUCAGGCAAAACAAAAUGUGUGCUUCAAAAGAGUUCACUGAUAUGUAGUACGGAGUAAUAAUAUUGAGCUUCGUAGCUUUUUGGCUUAUUCUUUUACACAUUUUGAGAUUCAUUUUUUAUGUCGAGAAUUUUCUAGGCCCGGAAUUCUAUAUUCUUUGUAAAUUAUCUUCUUAUCAUGUGCUCUAUAUAGCUUGGUUUGAUUCUUGUCCAA
Molecule: long non-coding RNA, 1569 nt
Organism: Chenopodium quinoa (quinoa)
Lineage: Eukaryota; Viridiplantae; Streptophyta; Magnoliopsida; Caryophyllales; Amaranthaceae
Exons: 5
Source: RefSeq, a predicted model, not a curated record